GAAGUGUGGACGCCAGUCUGCAUGGAGCCGACCUUGAAAUACCACCCUUUAAUGUUUGAUGUUCUAACGUGGACCCGUAAUCCGGGUUGCGGACAGUGUCUGGUGGGUAGUUUGACUGGGGCGGUCUCCUCCUAAAGAGUAACGGAGGAGCACGAAGGUUGGCUAAUCCUGGUCGGACAUCAGGAGGUUAGUGCAAUGGCAUAAGCCAGCUUGACUGCGAGCGUGACGGCGCGAGCAGGUGCGAAAGCAGGUCAUAGUGAUCCGGUGGUUCUGAAUGGAAGGGCCAUCGCUCAACGGAUAAAAGGUACUCCGGGGAUAACAGGCUGAUACCGCCCAAGAGUUCAUAUCGACGGCGGUGUUUGGCACCUCGAUGUCGGCUCAUCACAUCCUGGGGCUGAAGUAGGUCCCAAGGGUAUGGCUGUUCGCCAUUUAAAGUGGUACGCGAGCUGGGUUUAGAACGUCGUGAGACAGUUCGGUCCCUAUCUGCCGUGGGCGCUGGAGAACUGAGGGGGGCUGCUCCUAGUACGAGAGGACCGGAGUGGACGCAUCACUG
RNAcentral lists this ribosomal RNA (553 nucleotides) under Escherichia coli. RNAcentral's name for it is "bacterial LSU rRNA". It matches the Rfam family "Bacterial large subunit ribosomal RNA", at positions 2159 to 2711 of the family's 2925-position model. Lineage: Bacteria; Pseudomonadati; Pseudomonadota; Gammaproteobacteria; Enterobacterales; Enterobacteriaceae. The record is from RNAcentral.